This 23-nucleotide non-coding RNA is filed under the name Arabidopsis thaliana (thale cress). The record is from RNAcentral. Lineage: Eukaryota; Viridiplantae; Streptophyta; Magnoliopsida; Brassicales; Brassicaceae.
CGCCUGAUACAUGGUCUAGCAUG